This 284-nucleotide ribosomal RNA is filed under the name Roseburia inulinivorans DSM 16841. Its description in RNAcentral is "partial 16S ribosomal RNA". It matches the Rfam family "Bacterial small subunit ribosomal RNA", at positions 493 to 776 of the family's 1533-position model. The record is from RNAcentral. Lineage: Bacteria; Bacillati; Bacillota; Clostridia; Lachnospirales; Lachnospiraceae.
UCUGGUCCUUGUGUGCCCGCCGCCGCGGUAAUCCGUCUUUUGCCCGCUUUAUCCGGAUUUACUGGGUGUAAAGGGAGCGCAGGCGUAAGGCUAAGUCUGAUGUGAAAGCCCGGGGCUCAACCCCGGUACUGCAUUGGAAACUGGUCAUCUAGAGUGUCGGAGGGGUAAGUGGAAUUCCUAGUGUAGCGGUGAAAUGCGUAGAUAUUAGGAGGAACACCAGUGGCGAAGGCGGCUUACUGGACGAUAACUGACGCUGAGGCUCGAAAGCGUGGGGAGCAAACAGG